Molecule: ribosomal RNA, 253 nt
Filed under: uncultured bacterium
Lineage: Bacteria
Description: partial 16S ribosomal RNA
Rfam family: Bacterial small subunit ribosomal RNA
Source: RNAcentral
UACGUAGGGUGCGAGCGUUAAUCGGAAUUACUGGGCGUAAAGCGUGCGCAGGCAGUGAUGUAAGACAGGUGUGAAAUCCCCGGGCUUAACCUGGGAACUGCAUUUGUGACUGCAUCGCUGGAGUGCGGCAGAGGGGGAUGGAAUUCCGCGUGUAGCAGUGAAAUGCGUAGAUAUGCGGAGGAACACCGAUGGCGAAGGCAAUCCCCUGGGCCUGCACUGACGCUCAUGCACGAAAGCGUGGGGAGCAAACAGG